RNAcentral lists this ribosomal RNA (506 nucleotides) under uncultured bacterium. RNAcentral describes it as "partial 16S ribosomal RNA". It matches the Rfam family "Bacterial small subunit ribosomal RNA", at positions 29 to 523 of the family's 1533-position model. The record is from RNAcentral.
AGUGAACGCUGGCGGUAGGCCUAACACAUGCAAGUCGAACGGCAGCACAGGAGAGCUUGCUCUCUGGGUGGCGAGUGGCGGACGGGUGAGGAGUACAUCGGAAUCUACUCUGUCGUGGGGGAUAACGUAGGGAAACUUACGCUAAUACCGCAUACGACCCACGGGUGAAAGCAGGGGACCGUUGGACCUUGCGCGAUUGACUGAGCCGAUGUCGGGUUAGCUAGUUGGCGGGGUAUAGGCCCACCAAGGCGAGGAUCCGUAGCUGGCCUGAGAGGAUGAUCAGCCAAACUGGAACUGAGACACGGUCCAGACUCCUACGGGAGGCAGCAGUGGGGAAUAUUGGACAAUGGGCGAAAGCCUGAUCCAGCCAUACGGCGUGGGUGAAGAAGGCCUUCGGGUUGUAAAGCCCUUUUGUUGGGAAAGAAAUCCAGCUGGCUGAUACCCGGUUGGGAUGACGGUACCCAAAGAAUAAGCACCGGCUAACUUCGUGCCAGCAGCCGCCGUAA